CAGAGUGAGGCAUUUGCGGAUGACAUGCAUUCCACAAGUAACCUGCAGAGCAUUAAGAAAGAGGUUCAUGAAGAUCUGUUACCAGUGUCAGGGUGCAAUGGGUUCAUUAAAGAGGAGCCAGACUUAUAUGUAGGAGUGGAUUCAAGUGAGAAUGAGGAGGCAUCCACGAGAGAAGACGCCUCAGAUAUUACACGGUAAAAGCUUCAUCAUUUUACUGACACAUAAGUUUUACUAGGCGAGGUUGGUGCCUUUGUGCUUUCCUUC
Schistocerca serialis cubense is the source of this 264-nucleotide long non-coding RNA. RefSeq lists it as uncharacterized. NCBI's taxonomy places the organism in Eukaryota, Metazoa, Arthropoda, Insecta, Orthoptera, Acrididae. The record is from RefSeq and is a predicted model, not a curated record. The transcript has 3 exons.